CCUACGGGUGGCAGCAGUGAGGAAUAUUGGUCAAUGGGCGAGAGCCUGAACCAGCCAAGUCGCGUGAAGGAUGACGGCCCUACGGGUUGUAAACUUCUUUUGUCAGGGAGCAAUUGAGUCCACGUGUGGUCUUAGCGAGAGUACCUGAAGAAAAAGCAUCGGCUAACUCCGUGCCAGCAGCCGCGGUAAUACGGUGGAUGCGAGCGUUAUCCGGAUUUAUUGGGUUUAAUGGGUGCGAAGGGGGAAUAUCAAGUCAGCGGGAAAAAUUCGGGGCUCAAUCCCGUCGUGCCGUUGAAACUGAUGUUCUUGAGUGGGCGAGAAGGAUGCGGAAUGCGUGGUGUAGCGGUGAAAUGCAUAGAUA
Molecule: ribosomal RNA, 361 nt
Filed under: uncultured bacterium
Lineage: Bacteria
Description: partial 16S ribosomal RNA
Rfam family: Bacterial small subunit ribosomal RNA
Source: RNAcentral